This 233-nucleotide unclassified non-coding RNA is filed under the name fungal sp. RNAcentral's name for it is "partial internal transcribed spacer region". The stretch from base 1 to 46 matches the Rfam family "Eukaryotic small subunit ribosomal RNA", at positions 1786 to 1831 of the family's 1831-position model. Lineage: Eukaryota; Fungi. The record is from RNAcentral.
AAGUCGUAACAAGGUAUCCGUAGGUGAACCUGCGGAUGGAUCAUUAGAAAGUGCGAGGUGCUUCGGCACCGACCACCCACUCUGUGCACUGUAACGUACCCUGCGGUCGAGGGCUUAGGCUCGAGGCCGCGCUGGGCUGUUCCUUACGGGACGGCCGAACAAACACAUCAACCAACGUCUGAAGCUAAAGAAACAAUGUUAAACAACUUUUGACAACGGAUCUCUUGGCUCUC